UCCUACGGGGCGCAGCAGUGGGGAAUAUUGCACAAUGGGGGAAACCCUGAUGCAGCGACGCCGCGUGAGCGAUGAAGUAUUUCGGUAUGUAAAGCUCUAUCAGCAGGGAAGAAAAUGACGGUACCUGACUAAGAAGCCCCGGCUAACUACGUGCCAGCAGCCGCGGUAAUACGUAGGGGGCAAGCGUUAUCCGGAUUUACUGGGUGUAAAGGGAGCGUAGACGGCAGGGCAAGCCAGAUGUGAAAGGCUGGGGCUCAACCCCAGGACUGCAUUUGGAACUGUCAUGCUAGAGUGUCGGAGAGGCA
Molecule: ribosomal RNA, 305 nt
Filed under: uncultured bacterium
Lineage: Bacteria
Description: bacterial SSU rRNA
Rfam family: Bacterial small subunit ribosomal RNA
Source: RNAcentral